AGGAGAAGAAGAAGAAGAAGAAGAAGAAGAAGGAGAAGACCAAGGGAGGAGUAAGAAGAGAGGAGAAAGGGAGCACCUACCCAUCUAAGGUAACCAUUCGGAGUCUAUGGUUGGCUAUUUAUGGUGAUGACCUUUGGGAUGAGAAGCUAGCUAUGCACAAGGACGGAUAUAAUUGUGAUGAUUAUGCAUUCGAAGCACGUUGGGGAUGAGAGUAUCAUCUUCUCUUUUUAUUCUUUUGUUUUACAUAUUAGAUGUAGCCGUAGUGGCAUAACUAUAAUUAUGACUUCCACUAUGAAAAUCUUUUGAUAAAUAUGAUAAUUAUUAUUAGACUUCA
Macadamia integrifolia is the source of this 334-nucleotide long non-coding RNA. RefSeq lists it as uncharacterized. NCBI's taxonomy places the organism in Eukaryota, Viridiplantae, Streptophyta, Magnoliopsida, Proteales, Proteaceae. The record is from RefSeq and is a predicted model, not a curated record. The transcript is spliced from 2 exons.